GGGGGCGUAGCGAAGCAGGUUAUCGCGCCGGCCUGUCAAGCCGGAGAUCGCGGGUUCAAGUCCCGUCGCUCCCG
Molecule: transfer RNA, 74 nt
Filed under: Spirochaetota bacterium
Lineage: Bacteria; Pseudomonadati; Spirochaetota
Also listed under: 1 other name
Description: Spirochaetes bacterium tRNA-Asp
Rfam family: tRNA
About the family: Transfer RNA (tRNA) molecules are approximately 80 nucleotides in length. Their secondary structure includes four short double-helical elements and three loops (D, anti-codon, and T loops).
Source: RNAcentral